Molecule: ribosomal RNA, 497 nt
Filed under: uncultured bacterium
Lineage: Bacteria
Description: partial 16S ribosomal RNA
Rfam family: Bacterial small subunit ribosomal RNA
Source: RNAcentral
GAUGAACGCUGGCGGCGUGCCUAAUACAUGCAAGUCGAGCGAUCGGACGAGAAGCUUGCUUCUCUGAUGUUAGCGGCGGACGGGUGAGUAACACGUGGAUAACCUACCUAUAAGACUGGGAUAACUUCGGGAAACCGGAGCUAAUACCGGAUGAUAUUUUGAACCGCAUGGUUCAAAAGUGAAAGACGGUCUUGCUGUCACUUAUAGAUGCAUCCGCGCUGCAUUAGCUAGUUGGUAAGGUAACGGCUUACCACGGCAACGAUGCGUAGCCGACCUGAGAGGGUGAGCGGCCAAGCUGGAACGGAGACACGGUCCAGACUCCUACGGGAGGCAGCAGUAGGGAAUCCUCCGCAAUGGGCGAAAGCCUGACGGAGGAACGCCGCGUGAGUGAUGAAGGUCUUCGGAUCGUAAAACUCUGUUAUUAGGGAAGAACAUAUGUGUAAGUAACUGUGCACAUCUUGACGGUACCUAAUCAGAAAGCCACGGCUAACUACGUG